This 409-nucleotide ribosomal RNA is filed under the name uncultured bacterium. RNAcentral describes it as "bacterial SSU rRNA". It matches the Rfam family "Bacterial small subunit ribosomal RNA", at positions 9 to 412 of the family's 1533-position model. The record is from RNAcentral.
GAGUUUGAUCUUGGCUCAGGAUGAACGCUAGCGACAGGCCUAACACAUGCAAGUCGAGGGGCAACAGAGAAGUAGCAAUACUUUUGCUGGCGACCGGCGCACGGGUGAGUAACACGUAUGCAACCUGCCCGUAACAGGGGGAUAACCCGGAGAAAUCCGGCCUAAUACCGCAUAAUACCUAUUUUGCGCCUGCGGAAUAGGUUAAAGAAUAUCGGUUACGGAUGGGCAUGCGUUCCAUUAGUUAGUUGGUGAGGUAACGGCCCACCAAGACGACGAUGGAUAGGGGUUCUGAGAGGAAGGUCCCCCACAUUGGAACUGAGACACGGUCCAAACUCCUACGGGAGGCAGCAGUGGGGGAUAUUGCACAAUGGGCGAAAGCCUGAUGCAGCGACGCCGCGUGAGGGAAGAC